Molecule: non-coding RNA, 1606 nt
Organism: Oryctolagus cuniculus (rabbit)
Lineage: Eukaryota; Metazoa; Chordata; Mammalia; Lagomorpha; Leporidae
Source: RefSeq, a predicted model, not a curated record
UUUUGCUUUUCUGCCAAAAUACUGUCCUGGACUUUCCUCCAGGAUCAAAGUGACAUAGGGAAGUUUAAGGCCACAGAAAUGUGACUAAGUGGACAUCGAUCAACACUGGCAAAAGCAGAUGACUUUUCCCACAGUCUCUCAUGCUCAAGUCCACAAUAGAUAGGUAGAUAAUUGUUCCAAGGGCAAAAUCUUCUAGCUCACUGACCCUGACGCCCACGUCGCUGAUGAAAUAAAAAUGCGGUUGAAAAUGACAGUGUCUGAGAAGCAGACUGGAACUGCCUUCUAUUGCACACAAUUAGCAAUGAAAUUGAGAACCGCUUUCUUUCUCAAAUAAAAUCACCAGCCAUCGAGUUGCAAUUGAAAAUCGCCACUUUGAUUUCAGCCAGUAAUUCUGAACUUCCUCCUCUUUUUAUUUUCUAGAGCUUUUUUUCCCCCUUCCCUCCACUCUCAGCAGUAGAGAAUAAUGAGCAAACAGUUAAAUUGGGUGAGCUCUGAGUUCCAGCCGAGAUUUAUGGUCUGCUUUUCUUCCAGAGGGACCAUAAAACCACCAGACAUCUCAUUUUGAAAUCUCUCGUAUUAAGCAGAGAGAUGGGUGUGGUGUGAAAGUGAACUUGGGGUGGGGAGCAAUAUUUAGAGGAGUUUUAUGCUUUCAAAUAGAGGAAUCCCUGUGAAGGCUUCCAGCCAUGGGCAUGAGGAUCUCAGCCCACACCCCCUGCCCCAGGCCAACCCUUUUACAAAACCAUCCUUUUUAAUUUCAUCCUAAGUCCAUGUCAACCCAAAUCAUCAGGAUAACAAGAUACUGAAAGUGACUUCAACUUGCUGCACUCGUCAGAGAGGGACAACCACGCUGCAAAUAGGAGCGGGGAGGGAAGCGGGGAGUCUGAGAGCCGACUGCUGGCUUCCUGCCCCCCGCUGACCUCUUGGGAUCUCUGACACCGGGCAGCGGGAUCAAGAACGGGUCAGGUCUGGGAUUGCGGGGAGCGGAGAGUGGCAGGCUUUCUGGAAAGCGCCCAGGUUUGUUCCAGCAGCAGAGGUGAGGCUGCCUCCGAGGCAGCGCUGCAACUGUUCUGUUUGGAAACUGGAAAAACCGAAGUCCAGCAGCGGCUUUCCGCAUCGGGACAGCGGGAAGGGCGGGCGGGACCGGGCCGGGGAACGCGAGUGGGGCUCAGCCGAGCACAGAGGCGCUCAGGGGGAGGGGCUCGGCGCAUUUCCUCGCUGUACUGCCGCUGGAAACUUUUUCUCCCGCUGAGGUCUUACUCGCCCGCUGCCCUCUGGGGUCUGCCACGGCUGGUGGGGGGCUGGCUGGGGAACACCCUGUCAUCCCGCAGCCAAGCUUCAGGUGUGCGGGCAGCAGACUCAGGCCAGAGUCGGGGGCGGCGCAGAGCAGGCACCGGGAGCGCGCGCACCCGGGUCUCCCCGGCGGGGUCCUCACCUGUUCCAGCGGGCCACCUUCCUCCGGUAAUACCGCAGCGCCUCCUGGCUGGCCAAGAGAGCGUCUUCCGGACCCAGGAGAGGAGGCUCCUCCGGGACGUUGUACAGCGGGUGGGCGAAGAGGGCCUGCAGCUUGGAGACGCCGCGGCCGCCGCCCUCCGGCUCAGCCCCGCGC